GCACAAUAGCCUGAGAGAUCAGACGUGGGAGAUUAGAUUGCUCGGCGUCAGACCUACUUCUAGGCAACCCCCCCUAGACUGGAGCUGCUCGUCGUGGACAUUAGGAUCUAGUUGGGCAUGAGCCCUUAACUUAAGGGUCGGGGGGGAAGUGGCGGGUGCGGAGAGGAGGCGUGGAGAGUGUGAGGAAGAAGAGAGGCACUCUGAGAAGAAGUCGAACAACUAACCCCUCAUUUGGCCUGGUUUGGGUGAGAAGAUUGAGUCACUUGGGGAAAAAAAUAUUGGAGAAGUCAGAGAAGGUGUAAAUCAGUGGUGCCACAAACACCAGUUUACUUCCACUUUUCACCCCCCGGGUCUGUUUUGUCUGCGUGCAGCUCUCCUCGUGUCGGAGACGCUGAGUCAGUUCUCUACUGGUCUUGCCCUCUUCCGGAAAAAGAAAACACACCUGAGAAGUGGUAGUUCCUAUCCUAACCUACUGGGGCCCUUUAUACCAGGUGCCAAACUUCAUUAUCCACCCCACCACCUUGCCCGGGAGGGAGAUCUGUGAAAGCGAAACGUGAUUUAAGCUGGGAUCUGGCAGCAACUUCGUGGACUCUGAAGGGCACGUGGGAAAGGAGUUUUGAUUGAAGGGUCUUGUUCUGUCACCUAGGCUGGAGUGGCAUGAUCAUGGCUCACUGCAACUUCUGCCUCCCUGGCUCCCAGCCUCAAGUGAUCCUCCCACUCCAGUCCCCUGAAGCAACUGGGACCACAGAGUAAUUUUAUGCUGAUUGAAGAAAAGAAGUAAACAGAGUUCCAGAAAGCAACUGCAAAUACUCAUUUUGAAAAAGAAAACAAAACAAAAACAAGGGAGACAUUUUAAAAGGUGCUAAAGCAACAGGACCAGUUGCCAGAGAGCUUAUUUUACCUCCCCAAAACAAGAUUGGUGUUUCAUCCUUGAGUUUAGUACACAGGAUUGUUCUUAUUCUUCUGCAGAUAGAGAGGUGCACUGCUUUAUGCUGCAAGUUGUCUAUAAGACAAGUUUUGUGAGUAUCAAAUAUUUGUAAGCAAAUCAAAUUUCUCCCCCAGUUGAAAUGAUUAUUUCAGAAGAAUUUCUUCUUUGUUUUGAAUUGGACUUCUGAGUUGGACUUCUCAGCAUGAUAAAGAAGAAAGAGCAUUAGAAUAAGAAAGAAGAUUAAGCUUCUUGUUUUGAUUAUGCCCAUAAUCAGCUGUGGGACCCCGGGCUAAUGCACUCCAAAAUCCCACUGUUCUGUGACCUUGCUAUGUGGGGCAUCAGCCUCCUCAUCUCUAAUAUUUUGGAUUUAAGUUAGUUGAUUUUUAUGGUCCCGCAAUGGAAUUCUUUAAACAACUCCACUAAUCCAUGAUACUGUUGCUUUAAAAAUCUUGGUUUUAGCUUUCCUCUAAGGAAUUUAUAGUGACAAUUAUCUACUUUUUUUUUCUUAAAUAAAAAUAGAGGUGGGGUUUUGCCAUGUUGCCCAGGCUGGUCUCAAACUCUUGGGCUCAAGUGAUCUGCCCACCUUGGCCUCCUAAAGUGCUGGGAUGACAGGUGUGAGCCACUGUACCCGGCCAGACCAUAUGUCUCUAGCAUUUUGAUAACAUUCUCUACAAUCUGGGCCCUGUAUAACUCCCCAGUCUUCAGACUACUACUCUCUAUGCUCACAUCUUUGGCGAUUUUAUACUCUUUGCCAAUUUAGAUGCCAUUUGUUUUUUCGUUUCCAGUAGAUUAGUAUGUCCAACCCAGAUUUUGGUAAACCCUAGACUCAUUCUACAGUCUGUGACAUCUCCAUUUGGAUUUCUUAUUGGCAUCUCAGACUCCAUAUGUCUAACCUGGAAUGCCUGAUCUCCAUUGCCUCCUAAACCGGCUUCUCUCACGGCUCUCCCAUCUCGGGGCCCAGCAUCUCAGACCUUUGCCUUGCUUACACCAGACAUUUUGUUGUUAUCUGUACCACCUCCUUCUCGUGCAGUCUACUUGAUGCCACCUAAUUGGUAUCCCUGGCUUCUGCCCUUGUUCUCUUAACGAAUCAUUUUCCAAACAGCAGCCAGAGUGAUCCUUUCAAAAAUGGAUUCAGAAAUCAUGUCACUGCUCUGCCCAAAGUUCCCAAAUGACUUCCCAGUCACUCAGAGCACAAGCUGACGCUCGACACAUCUGGGCCCCGUAAGAUUUUCAUUUCUGCUCCUCCUCCUUUUGCUCACUCUGCCCCUGCCACAUUGGUCUCCUGCUUUCCCGGAACUUGCCCAACAUGUUCCUCCCUCAGGGCCUUCACAUUUGUCAUUUCCUGUCCUAUGAUGCUCUUCCUGCAGAUAUCUACAGCAGCUCCCCGCUGCUCCUUUUGCAGGUUUUUGUUCAGAUGUCAUCUUCCUGGUGAGCUCUUCCCUGAACAACUCCUCACCCCCUCCACCUUGCCCCUGGGACUCCCUUUGACCUUUCUCGGAUUGUUUUCCCUGUAACUCUUGCCACCACCUCAUACAGGGCUUCUCAAGCUUGGCAUGAUUGGCAUUUUGGGACAGUUCUUUGUUGCGGGCUAUUAUCCUGUGCCUUGCAGGAUGUUUAGCAGCAUCACCACCCUCGACCCACUCAAUACCUGCAACUUUCCUCCCUAGGUUGUGACAGCCAGAAAUGUCUCCAGACACUGCCAAAUGUCUCCUGGGGGACAAAACCACCCCUGGUUGAGAAUCUUUGAUAUAAUGUAAAUAUGCAUUUUACCUAUGUAUUUGUUUAUUGUUCCUCCCUUCCCCACCAAUAAAAUAUAAUCUCCAUGAGAACAGGAAUUUUUGUGUCUAUUUUCCACUGAUGUAAUGCAGGCACUCUGAAUAGGGUAUGAUGCAUAGUAGGUGCUCAAACAGAUAUUUCACUGGUGAAUAAAUGAAAUGUGCUCUGACCUUGUUCCUCUGUGCUCAUUAAGCUCUAGCCACACUGACCUUUCUUCCACCUCUCAGACAUCUGAAGCUCCUUCUCACCUUUCAGUCUUUUUCUUUCAGAUCUCACUCCUGGAAAGCUCUAUUCGCAGGUCUCUGUUUACUUGUUACUCAGGUCCAAUAACACCUGCUUAGAGAGGCUUCCCUGAUCACCGUAUCCUACAUGACCCUCCCUGCCAGCCAGAGUCACUGUCUAUAUUGUUACUGUGUUUUAGUUUCUGCAUUACAUUUGUCUUGGAAAUUAUCUUGUUUACGUGGCAGGUGUACAUCUUGCUCCCUUAAAUGAAUGCUCCUUGACCACUCCACAUUAUCUGCUUUGUUUAUUAACGGCAGUAAUCUAAAACAGUAGUCUAAAACAGUGCAAGGCCCAUCGUUGAUGGGCUGAUUAAAUAAGUAUGCCUGUCUUUUAAUCAAUUCAGGGUGGAAGAGAGUCUCUAUAGAAAGGGUUUAAGGGCUGUGUCUGUCAAGGUCCAGUAGCAAAAAAAAAGAAAAAAGAAAAAAAAAGAGUCUGCUCUAGCUAAUUUGAACAGAAAGGGAUUAAUUAGAGAAUGUGGUUCACCAUCGAGAAGGCUGCAGCAACAUCCUCCACAGUGAGCUUUCAGGAACCACCUUGGAAACCACACACUGACUGGGCCACCAAGGUAGAGACUGCUCUUCUUUGAUUGGGAGAACUACAGCCAAGCUGGGACACUGAGGGGUCAGCUGCUGGGUCUGGGACCAAAUGACCACUUCUGGGAAGAUCACACCUGCAUGAAAAGGAGGUCAGCACUACUGGGAACUGACAAGAUCAAGAGACUGGGGUAAUGACUCUGUGUGGUUCUCCCCGUGUACAUGUUAAUAAAAUGUAUAUCCCUUUUCUCCAAUUAAAAAAAAAUUCCCUAGCAAGUUGACUCAGAAGAAAUAAAUGAAUACUCUCAAAAAACUGCGUCAGAAAAACCAGACACUUCCACUCUAGUGUUGGCUAACAGGAAGCGACAAAGCAGCGGAAGCUUAUUUGUCUUGUCUUCUAGCUCUCAUGCCAGUACGCAUGAUUGGUGGAACAAAACCUCGGCUACUAGGAAGUCUGGGAGAUGUGGCUUUUAGCUUUCCAGUCUCUGUAGCAUGGAGGGCACAUUGGGAACAGGUUAGAAUGGCUGUGAGGGCUGCUAAUCCACUAUACAUAGGAUGGACAGAUGAUUGAUUAUUAAAAAGUUAAUGAAUCUUCAAGUUUAUAUUUGCCAGGCAAGAAGGUCUCAGUAAAACCAAACCAAAAAGGGCCAGGCACUAUUACGAGGCUCAUGCCUGUAAUCCCAGCACUUUGGGAGGCCGAGGUGGGCAGAUCACCUGAGGUCAGGAGUUCAAGACCAGCCUGGCCAACAUGGCAAAACCCUGUAUCUACUAAAAAUACAAAAAAAAAAAAAAAAAAAAAAAAAAAGCCAGGCAUAGUGGUGGGUGCCUGUAAUCCCAGCUACUCAGGAGGCUGAGGCAGGCGAAUUGCUUGAAUCAGGGAGCAGGAGGUUG
This 4410-nucleotide long non-coding RNA is filed under the name Homo sapiens (human). RNAcentral describes it as "non-protein coding lnc-SWT1-1:11". The record is from RNAcentral. Lineage: Eukaryota; Metazoa; Chordata; Mammalia; Primates; Hominidae.